GGCUGGUCUGAGCGCAGUGAUGUUUACAACUAAUUGAUCACAACCAGUUACAGAUUUCUUUGUUCCUUCUCUAAUCCCAUUGCUUCACUUGAAUAACCUUAA
Callithrix jacchus (white-tufted-ear marmoset) is the source of this 102-nucleotide non-coding RNA. The record is from Rfam. NCBI's taxonomy places the organism in Eukaryota, Metazoa, Chordata, Mammalia, Primates, Cebidae.